Pseudophryne corroboree (corroboree frog) is the source of this 1840-nucleotide long non-coding RNA. RefSeq lists it as uncharacterized. Lineage: Eukaryota; Metazoa; Chordata; Amphibia; Anura; Myobatrachidae. The transcript has 4 exons. The record is from RefSeq and is a predicted model, not a curated record.
CAGGACACUAUUUUUGGAAAAUAAAGAUACCUUUAUAGGUACAAGAUACAGCUUCUUAUUCACCACUUUCUGCACAUCAAGAAGAUGAGGAGCCAUAAUGAAUUGCAGGCAGAGCACAGCGGCCCCCAGCCAGCUCAUACAGAAUAAGAUAAAGAUCCGAAGAGCGGGUGCCAGACGGAGGGCAGUAGCAGUCCGGAAGCAGGAGCGGGGCUGUAAAAUCAUGCAGCCACUGGACAGGCAGCAUCUCCACCAUCAUCUGGGACAAAAAGGGCCAUCUGUGUGUGUGUUCAGCAAUACACUGAGAGUUGGGGAGGUGCACAGGUCUCUUGUUAUUAGUCUAGGGGAGGAAACUUUCUCAUUCAUGAUGAGUCAUUGGUCAGUUCAUAUGCAAGCCUUGAAGACAUCAAAAGGGCUGGCCUGAGUUUCCUGUCCAUCACAUGCUUUAAAUGGAAUGUUCAUUGUUCUCAUCAGAAUUGUGGCUUUAUAUUCCUACAUUCAAUCAUAACUACUCAUGGCAAUGUGCUACAACUUAAUAACAGGCAUCAAAUGAAUCUACACAUUAAUCUGGUUACUUUGACACCAAGCACGACAUGUCCAUCUUGCUCCGCUCCAAUGAUACACAUACAUGACGUUACUCCAUUAUAUAAUUUAAAACUUUAUGAUGUCUGGUGUUUGAUAUGUUCAAUUUAUGUGCUGUAUGAAAUAUGUGUUGAAUCUUUCUUUGUGGCAUAUCUGUGUAAAUGCGUAUGUUACCAUAUAUUGCUGUGCUCGCUGCUCGUAUUUGCAAAAAUAGCGAGUCAUAAUGUAUGGAGUCUGUAUGUUCUCUCUAUGUAAUAUUUUUGACUUCGACAGUCCACCCUUUGGCAGUAAACAAUAACUGCAAUAAAUUAUUAACAUAAGAAAAAUAUUUCAGACAAUAAUCGGUGACCUAGACACACGUAUGUAUUCAUUUCGCAAAUCAGACACUUGACUAUAUUUGGGGAAGACAGGGAGGAGGACGAGACAUCCUCUUUAUGCACUCAGUGGUCACGGGACCACUGUUUGGAUGUGGGACAACAUUCAACCUUAAGAGUAUGCUGGGACAGUGCUAUGGCCUAUGAUGUCUGAUUUGAACGAACAUUUCACACAUACAUGUACCUACGUUUUUGUACACUGAUGUUCGGAUUCGAUUGAGGUUCUGCUGGGUAGAGGGAGAAAACUAACAAAUCGUGAAAGAGACAUAUAACAUUUUCAUGAUAUACAUAUUCCUAUCAUUUUCUGAACAUUGUUUCCAUUUCUGGAACGUAUGCUAGGUCUGUUUCAUCAUUGAACAAGGGUUAUAAGUAGUGUCCUUCCUAAAUAACAUAAACCUUCGGAGUUCGGGGAGAGCCACUCAUAAACCUUUCUUCCACAUAUAUUAAUGAGCUCUUUAUCUGCAAUGUGUGAAUAGCCAUUGUCUGAUUGUUCCUGAUUACCUCCCAAUUUCCUGAAAUUGGUGAGAUUUAAACAUACCAGGGAUUUAUCUAUGGUACUGGUGGAUCUUAAGGCUAGGGGGUCUAGUUAUAUUAUAUUCUAUAUAUAGGUGGUGGAGGAGGCGACCCGAUCUUUGACACAUAGGAGAACUGCUGAAAGCUGAAAGCUCUGACGAUCCUUGAGGAGGGAUACCAUGAGAUUAUCUGUUCUAAACCACAGUUCAAAUUAAUCUGGUAAUUAUCCGCUGUUAACUAUUGACGGGAAAGCCACCUCCUUAAAAAAGAACUAUAUUAUGCCAUGCACUGCACUUUUAUGUCUAUCAUAGAACCAUUUUAAUUGUUGUCUGUUUAUUUGUGUAAAUUAAAACGGUGUUACACUAUAUACCUUC